GCCUGGAUAGCUCAAUCGGUAGAGCAUCAGACUUUUAAUCUGAGGGUCCAGGGUUCGAGUCCCUGUUCGGGCG
RNAcentral lists this transfer RNA (73 nucleotides) under Habropoda laboriosa. RNAcentral describes it as "tRNA-Lys". It matches the Rfam family "tRNA". Rfam says of the family: Transfer RNA (tRNA) molecules are approximately 80 nucleotides in length. Their secondary structure includes four short double-helical elements and three loops (D, anti-codon, and T loops). The record is from Rfam by way of RNAcentral. Lineage: Eukaryota; Metazoa; Arthropoda; Insecta; Hymenoptera; Apidae.